UACGUUCCCGGGCCUUGUACACACCGCCCGUCACACCACGAGAGUUUGUAACACCCGAAGUCGGUGAGGUAACCUUUAUGGAGCCAGCCGCCGAAGGUGGGACAGAUGAUUGGGGUGAAGUCGUAACAAGGUAGCCGUAUCGGAAGGUGCGGCUGGAUCACCUCCUUUCUAAGGA
Molecule: ribosomal RNA, 175 nt
Filed under: Bacillus amyloliquefaciens
Lineage: Bacteria; Bacillati; Bacillota; Bacilli; Caryophanales; Bacillaceae
Also listed under: 1 other name
Description: partial 16S ribosomal RNA
Rfam family: Bacterial small subunit ribosomal RNA
Source: RNAcentral